GUGUGAAUUGCAGAAUCCCGUGAACCAUCGAGUCUUUGAACGCAAGUUGCGCCCGACGCCUUCGGGCUGAGGGCACGCCUGCCUGGGCGUCACGCAUCGCGUCGCCCCCUAUACCAAUUUGGUGCAGGGGGCGGAUAAUGGCAUCCCGUUAGCUUGGUUUGCCCAAAAAGGAUCCCUCAUCGACGGAUGUCACAACCAGUGGUGGUUGAAAGAUCAUUGGUGUUGUUGUGCAUCACUCUGUCGCAUGCUUGGGCAUCGUUAUAAAACAAUGGUGCUAACGCGCCUUCGACCGCGACCCCAGGUCAGACGGGACUACCCGCUGAGUUUAAGCAUAUCAAUAAGCGGUGGAGAAGAAACUUACAAGGAUUCCCCUAGUAACGGCGAGCGAACCGGGAAUAGCCCAACUUGAGAAUCGGGCGGCCACGCCGUCCGAAUUGUAGUC
RNAcentral lists this ribosomal RNA (442 nucleotides) under Viola tianschanica. RNAcentral describes it as "eukaryotic LSU rRNA". The stretch from base 293 to 442 matches the Rfam family "Eukaryotic large subunit ribosomal RNA", at positions 1 to 150 of the family's 3401-position model. Lineage: Eukaryota; Viridiplantae; Streptophyta; Magnoliopsida; Malpighiales; Violaceae. The record is from RNAcentral.